Long non-coding RNA from Hylaeus anthracinus, 1589 nucleotides. RefSeq lists it as uncharacterized. Lineage: Eukaryota; Metazoa; Arthropoda; Insecta; Hymenoptera; Colletidae. The transcript has 5 exons. The record is from RefSeq and is a predicted model, not a curated record.
CAGUCCAAUAAGAAUCAAAUUUCGAUGUUUCAAGUUCCCUUAGCAGGUAUACAUCAUCAUUUAAAUUAAAUUUGUGAGAGUUUACAUUUUUGUCAUAAUGUAUUUUACUUUUUUCUUUAACUCUUUCAAGGUUUUUUGCUGCCAUUGCCUGAGUAGGAGUGACCCUUGUGAGAAGCUGAUCUAAAUACUGGAUAAAGGUUCGCGGAACUUCCUGCUUCGCAAACUCAGAAGGAAUUACGGCCUUUACACCAAAAACCAAUUCAUGUGGAGUAAAACCUGUGGACUCAUGUACAGAGGUAUUGUAUGAAAAUAUACCAAAUCUUAUCCAAUAGUCCCAAUCUGAUUUUGUACAGUAAUGUUUAAGAUAGUCUAUGAAUACACGAUGAGCUUUUUCCAGAGAUCCUAAUGACUGAGGGUGAAAUGCAGUAGAGCCCUAGGACAACCGAAUCUACUGAUAAACUGUUCGGACAAAGCGGCAGCGACAGAUACUGAAUCGAUAUUAGUUAAAAGUAAUUGACCCACAAUGUCCAUCUGCACUUUUUCGAACGCGACCUUGGGAGUGUCAGUAAUUCGCAUGGGUUGUCUAGUCUUUGCAGAACGAAUUUUAUUUCUUUGGCAUAUUAAGCAGGGAAGGUCAUGGCAUCACCGACAUUCAAAGAAUACUGUUUCAGUUGAUCAAUGGAAAACCCUCUUCGUGCAAACAAAUCCUGUCCAAUCUGUAAAAUGUUAUUGCAAUCAAGUGGUAGAAAAUGGACAAGGUUAUCUCUACGCAUAAAAAGAGUCGUUAACGGUUUUUUCACUUGGGAUCCUCCGUGCGGUCUUGGUCGCGAAACUGGAUAUGUGCUGAGCAAUCACUAGGUUCCCCGGGGACCUCUGCCGUGACAUCGUCGUCAACAAUCUACUGGGCAUCACAGCCUUCGCUACAGCACACUCCGAAAAACAACCAGGCUCGUCAGCAUCUGCCACGACAACAGUCGCAAAAACAGGCUCCCCACACCUGUGCCGCGAUCCAAGAUUACGCAGGCCUUAUAACACUGGCACCCUUAUUGAAAACGGACUACCUCCAAUGACAUCGGGAGCGGUUGCCUGGGGUUCAGUCAUCCCGUCCAACCGAUUGCGCAAAGGAAGCUCAUCACUAGUCUCCAACCGGGGUAAUCCCUUACCGUUAAUGUUAGCUUGAAUACAUUCAUUCCCAACAGAGGGCAAACUAACAUGAUGGGAACUUGUAUCAGCUUUACUUAAAAUGUCACAUCUGUCAUCAUCAUUAGAACAAAAGCAUUUUUCCACAUUAAAGUUUUCCAUUAACUCUUUUCCUUUUUCCUUUCGUUUUUCUUUUGCUCCUCCAUCCACCCAAAAAAUUGAAACUAUCAUUUCCUCAUUACUAUAAUUAACAAAAUGGUCAUCAACCCUGCUCGUACAAGUAUCUGAAACCGAUAACUGGUCUGCGCAGUCCAGCAUCUUUUCCAAACGCUUUGAGCAAGGUUUAAGAGACUUUUCUACUUUGAGGAAGACUUGACGGAGAGUCGCGAGUUUCAUUAGAUAGAAUUGGAUUUCGAGGAAGUCCAUCAGCGUUAGAAUUUACUUUACCA